Molecule: ribosomal RNA, 253 nt
Filed under: uncultured bacterium
Lineage: Bacteria
Description: partial 16S ribosomal RNA
Rfam family: Bacterial small subunit ribosomal RNA
Source: RNAcentral
UACGGGGGGGGCAAGCGUUGUUCGGAAUUACUGGGCGUAAAGGGCCAGUAGGCGGCCAACUAAGUCGGAUGUGAAAUCCCCAGGCUCAACUUGGGAACUGCAUCCGAUACUGGAUGGCUUGAAUUCGGGAGAGGGAUGCAGAAUUCCAGGUGUAGCGGUGAAAUGCGUAGAUAUCAAGAGGAACACCUGCGGCGAAGGCGGGUUGCUGGGCCGACACUGACGCUGAAGCGCGAAAGCCAGGGGAGCGAACGGG